RNAcentral lists this ribosomal RNA (492 nucleotides) under uncultured bacterium. RNAcentral's name for it is "partial 16S ribosomal RNA". It matches the Rfam family "Bacterial small subunit ribosomal RNA", at positions 29 to 507 of the family's 1533-position model. The record is from RNAcentral.
AGUGAACGCUGGCGGUAGGCCUAACACAUGCAAGUCGAACGGCAGCACAGUAAGAGCUUGCUCUUACGGGUGGCGAGUGGCGGACGGGUGAGGAAUACAUCGGAAUCUACUUUUUCGUGGGGGAUAACGUAGGGAAACUUACGCUAAUACCGCAUACGACCUACGGGUGAAAGCAGGGGAUCUUCGGACCUUGCGCGAUUGAAUGAGCCGAUGUCGGAUUAGCUAGUUGGCGGGGUAAAGGCCCACCAAGGCGACGAUCCGUAGCUGGUCUGAGAGGAUGAUCAGCCACACUGGAACUGAGACACGGUCCAGACUCCUACGGGAGGCAGCAGUGGGGAAUAUUGGACAAAGGGCGAAAGCCUGAUCCGGCCAUACCGCGUGGGUGAAGAAGGCCUUCGGGUUGUAAAGCCCUUUUGUUGGGAAAGAAAAGCAGCAGGUUAAUACCCCGCUGUUCUGACGGUACCCAAAGAAUAAGCACCGGCUAACUUCGUG